This 382-nucleotide ribosomal RNA is filed under the name uncultured bacterium. RNAcentral describes it as "bacterial SSU rRNA". It matches the Rfam family "Bacterial small subunit ribosomal RNA", at positions 30 to 406 of the family's 1533-position model. The record is from RNAcentral.
AGCGAACGCUGGCGGCAUGCCUAACACAUGCAAGUCUGACGGGCCUGGGGCUUGCUCCGGGUCAGUGGCGGACGGGUGAGGAACGCGUAGGAACGUAUCCAAGGGUGGGGGAUAACCGCGGGAAACUGCGGCUAAUACCGCAUGGGGCCUCAAGGGAGACCUGGGGGCCAAAGGCUGAGGGAAACCUUGGUCGCCGAUGGAGCGGCCUGCGUCCGAUUAGCUAGUUGGUGGGGUGACGGCUUACCAAGGCUACGAUCGGUAGCUGGUCUGAGAGGAUGAUCAGCCACACUGGGACUGAGACACGGCCCAGACUCCUACGGGAGGCAGCAGUGGGGAGUAUUGGACAAUGGGCGAAAGCCUGAUCCAGCAAUGCCGCGUGGGU